GACGAACGCUGGCGGCGUGCCUAAUACAUGCAAGUUGAGCGCUGAAGGUUGGUACUUGUACCAACUGGAUGAGCAGCGAACGGGUGAGUAACGCGUGGGGAAUCUGCCUUUGAGCGGGGGACAACAUUUGGAAACGAAUGCUAAUACCGCAUAAAAACUUUAAACACAAGUUUUAAGUUUGAAAGAUGCAAUUGCAUCACUCAAAGAUGAUCCCGCGUUGUAUUAGCUAGUUGGUGAGGUAAAGGCUCACCAAGGCGAUGAUACAUAGCCGACCUGAGAGGGUGAUCGGCCACAUUGGGACUGAGACACGGCCCAAACUCCUACGGGAGGCAGCAGUAGGGAAUCUUUCGGGCAAUGGACGAAAAGUCUGACCGAGCAAACGCCCGCCAUGAGUGAAAGAAAGGUUUUUCGGAUUCGUAAAAACUUC
This 427-nucleotide ribosomal RNA is filed under the name Lactococcus lactis. Its description in RNAcentral is "bacterial SSU rRNA". It matches the Rfam family "Bacterial small subunit ribosomal RNA", at positions 28 to 434 of the family's 1533-position model. The record is from RNAcentral. Lineage: Bacteria; Bacillati; Bacillota; Bacilli; Lactobacillales; Streptococcaceae.